RNAcentral lists this ribosomal RNA (425 nucleotides) under uncultured bacterium. RNAcentral describes it as "bacterial SSU rRNA". It matches the Rfam family "Bacterial small subunit ribosomal RNA", at positions 355 to 772 of the family's 1533-position model. The record is from RNAcentral.
UCGAGAAUCUUUCGCAAUGGGCGAAAGCCUGACGAAGCGACGCCGUGUGAACGAAGAAGGUCUUAGGGUUGUAAAGUUCUUUCGCUGGGGAACAAGAGAGACUGGCUAACAUCCAGUUAAUUUGAUGGUACACGGUAAAGAAGCACCGGUUAACUCCGUGCCAGCAGCUGCGGUAAUACGGAGGGUGCAAGUAUUGAUCGGAAUUACUGGGCGUAAAGGGCGCGUAGGCGGCGAGAUAAGUCAGAUGUGAAAUUCCGGGGCUCAACCCCGGGGCUGCAUUUGAACCUGUCCGGCUACAGUAUAGUUAGGGAAAACGGACUUCCACGUGUAGCGGUGAAAUGCGUAGAUAUGUGGAAGAACACCGGUGGUGAAGACGGUUUUCUAGGCUAAAACUGACGCUGAGGCGCGGAAGCGUGGGGAGCAAA